This 204-nucleotide ribosomal RNA is filed under the name uncultured bacterium. Its description in RNAcentral is "partial 16S ribosomal RNA". It matches the Rfam family "Bacterial small subunit ribosomal RNA", at positions 524 to 727 of the family's 1533-position model. The record is from RNAcentral.
UACGAAGGGGGCUAGCGUUGUUCGGAAUUACUGGGCGUAAAGCGCACGUAGGCGGACAUUUAAGUCAGGGGUGAAAUCCCGGGGCUCAACCCCGGAACUGCCUUUGAUACUGGGUGUCUUGAGUGUGGUAGAGGUGAGUGGAAUUGCGAGUGUAGAGGUGAAAUUCGUAGAUAUUCGCAGGAACACCAGUGGCGAAGGCGGCUC